UAGGGAAUAUUAGAAAUGGACGAAAGUCUGAUCUAGCAACACCGCGUGUGCGAUGAAGGCCUUCGGGUUGUAAAGCACUUUUUGGAAGGAUUAGGAAGGAAUGUACUUCCAGAAUAAGUCUCGGCCAACUACGUGCCAGCAGCCGCGGUAAAACGUAGGAGGCGAGCGUUAUCCGGAUUUACUGGGUGUAAAGCGCGUGCAGGCGGUUAGCUAAGUUGGGUGUGAAAGCUCCUGGCUCAACUGGGAGAGGUCGCUCAAGACUGGCUGACUCGAGGAUGGUAGGGGAAGGUGGAAUUCCGGGUGUAGUGGUGAAAUGCGUAGAUAUCCGGAGGAACACCAGUGGCGAAGGCGGCCUUCUGGACCAUCACUGACGCUCAGACGCGAAAGCUAGGGUAGCAAACGG
Molecule: ribosomal RNA, 403 nt
Filed under: uncultured bacterium
Lineage: Bacteria
Description: bacterial SSU rRNA
Rfam family: Bacterial small subunit ribosomal RNA
Source: RNAcentral